RNA transcript from Antechinus flavipes (yellow-footed antechinus), 1502 nucleotides. It is a transcript of the gene named zinc finger protein 701-like, with no coding region annotated. The transcript is spliced from 3 exons. NCBI's taxonomy places the organism in Eukaryota, Metazoa, Chordata, Mammalia, Dasyuromorphia, Dasyuridae. The record is from RefSeq and is a predicted model, not a curated record.
UGAGAGUAGGACAGAGUCACUAAUUAUCAUGACCUGAAAGCUCUCUCUCUCAUUCUGGCCAGGUCUGCAUCCAGCCUGGGAAGGGAAGGCUCAGAUCCCGGCCUCCCUCUCUGAGGUCCCUCUCCUUCCCCAGCCCAGCUGGCAGAGAACCGAAUCCUGGAACCAGAGACAUGGCCCCUGGCAGCCGGAGCCCCUUUUCCCAGGUCUGCAUCCAGCCUGGGAAGGGAAGGCUCAGAUCCCGGCCUCCCUCUCUGAGGUCCCUCUCCUUCCCCAGCCCAGCUGGCAGAGAACCCAAUCCUGGAACCAGAGACAUGGCCCCUGGCAGCCGGAGCCCCUUUUCCCAGGUGUGGCAGGCUCUCCUCCUUUGCUUCCCCACUGAAACCAAGACUCUGGAAGGCCUCCAAAAAACUAGCCCAGCCCCAAGUGAAGGAGAGAGAACUUUGAAAGAUGUAAUAAAGGAUUUGGACUUUAACACCUGGUUGCAUUUGUGGUCAUUACUGAACUGAAAUGAAGGCUGCCUCCAGGGACCCCGAGAAAACCUCAGCAGAGAACAUUACAUUUUAGAGAGAAUAUUACACCUUCUUGUACAGCUCCUUCUGAGAAAGUUCCAAGAAUCCCCACUCCUCCUCAGUGAAGUCCACCAUCAUCAAAUCCUUGAAGGUCACCAACUUCUAAACCAUUAAAAGGCAUAAGAUUUUGAGCUGAGACUCCAGAAUGUAUCUAGUCCAACCUUUAUUAAGGAGGAAACUGAACCAGAGUUGGGAUUUCUCUUAAAAAAAAAAAAAAUCACAUGACCUUUAUGACUCACAGCCAACACUUUCUAACCAAGCAUUAAGGGCCCAAUGGGAUCCUGAGAAAGCCUUUUCUGUUUGAAGAUUGGAAUACUAAAAGCCUGUAAAGGUUUCUUACUAUAUAAUGCCUAUCCUGAAGAAAGGAAGGAAAAUGUUGGUGACAUAUCAGUUAGGUAAAAAAAUGUGUUUAAGAGAAAGAAGGGGAGGGGAAAUUCCUCCCCAUCAGAAGUGUCUUAAGUGACAUAUUAAGGAAAUUCCAUGAAGAGUUUGUGAGAAGUUGACAAGGAUUUUAUAUUCUGAGUCAACAAAACCUGAAAAUGGAUCACUGAGAAAAGAAGAAACCAAAAAAAAAAAAAAAUCGGUAAAUUUCCUGAAAUUCUGAAAUAUUCUCAUUUAGAUGAAAGCAAGAGAAGUACCCUAGAGAUAUAUUGCUCGCAAUAUGUCCACGAUGGAGUAGUAUGAGACUGCUUGCAGCCAAGUAAAGCAGUAUUCUCUACUGUUACCCUGAAAGGCUGAGAUGACACUGGGCAGGAUGCGUCAUGGUCAAAAGCAUCUGCUAUCUUUAUUUUAUGAUCGCCUUCACUUGUUUGUGGAAUGGAUUCAGUCACUGCAAUAAUGAAUUAUUGAAAAUGAAGAGUAACUCUGAGGGGAAAGGAGAAUUUCCUUCCUGACUUAAAAUGUCAUAUUUUAUCAUUUGGAGUUGGUGAUGGA